Long non-coding RNA from Homo sapiens (human), 955 nucleotides. Ensembl annotates it as long intergenic non-protein coding RNA 1643. The record is from Ensembl. Lineage: Eukaryota; Metazoa; Chordata; Mammalia; Primates; Hominidae.
AGAGAACAAACUACCAAUUAACGAGCGAGGAAACAGGGCCAGAGAAUUGGAACAAAAUACAAGGCUGCCUCUGAAAGGAAUAUCUUUGUGCUGAUGUGUCCAUCAAGAGAACAUACACAGAAGUGACACUUGCCAGUAAUUUGCAAGCAGAUGGAACUUCAAUAUGGCAAUAGAGAAAGAAUCAAUUAGACCAGAGUCUCCUCAGGAAGACUUUCUAUAGGUGGACGGUCCCCUGGAGAGCCCGCUGUGUUGGAAGAUGUAGAAUAUUCAUAUAUCUGGUGAGCAUCUGCUAGAUGCCAGGGUUGGGGAGAGUCAAGUUGAAGCAAGCAUGAACCCUCAAGGACCUACCAUUUCAAGGCAAGAAAUAGAUACAAAUACAGAAAAUAUUUACUGGAUAGCUACUAGACAUAAGGAUGCAGAAAUGAAUUAGAAAAAUUCCUCGCCCUUGUUCAAAGCUAUGCUGGCUCUUAGAACAUCUGAGCCCCCACUGUUUCAUCUUUAGAGGAUCCCAGCUGCUGGGGUGUGAGGCCAGUGCUGGAGCCAGCAGUCUCUGACCCAGAAGGGACCUGAGGUGCUAAAGAAAAGGGUACAAGCUGGAAAAGGGGAAAAUGAAUCAUGCUACAGGCCAAGUGUCCAUCACUGAUUCCCAGAGAUGCCCUUUGUGUGGUCAUAAGACCCUAAUUCCAGAGGGCCCUACCCUAUAACCAGAAGGAAGAACUAUUGCACAGAGAAUCUAAGAAGAAUCUAGACAGACAGCCCUUGCUGGAUUUCUCCACUCUGUUAGCAUUCGAUCAUUUGCCUUUUGUCCAGUCAUAUUUCUGCAUGGCUGUCCAUACUUUGUUGAACCUAAGCACAAAAUGGAAAGUUUUCCCUGUAUCUUUGGGUCGUCAUUCUGAAGGCUCCCAUGUUAUGUAAAACUAUGAUCAAAUAAAUAUGCAUGCCUUUUCUCCUAUAA